UCCGCGGUAGCUCAAUGGUAGAGCAGGAAGCUGUUAACUUCAAGGUUCUAGGUUCGAAUCCUAGCCGCGGAGCCA
This 75-nucleotide transfer RNA is filed under the name Candidatus Roizmanbacteria bacterium RIFCSPLOWO2_01_FULL_45_11. RNAcentral describes it as "tRNA-Asn". It matches the Rfam family "tRNA". From Rfam's summary of the family: Transfer RNA (tRNA) molecules are approximately 80 nucleotides in length. Their secondary structure includes four short double-helical elements and three loops (D, anti-codon, and T loops). The record is from RNAcentral. Lineage: Bacteria; Candidatus Roizmaniibacteriota.